RNAcentral lists this ribosomal RNA (533 nucleotides) under uncultured bacterium. Its description in RNAcentral is "bacterial SSU rRNA". It matches the Rfam family "Bacterial small subunit ribosomal RNA", at positions 777 to 1307 of the family's 1533-position model. The record is from RNAcentral.
AAUAGAUACCCGGGUAGUCCACGCCGUAAACGAUGAGUGCUAAGUGUUAGAGGGUUUCCGCCCUUUAGUGCUGCAGCUAACGCAUUAAACACUCCGCCUGGGGAGUACGGUCGCAAGACUGAAACUCAAAGGAAUUGACGGGGGCCCGCACAAGCGGUGGAGCAUGUGGUUUAAUUCGAAGCAACGCGAAGAACCUUACCAGGUCUUGACAUCCCACUGACCGGUAUAGAGAUAUACCUUUCCCUUCGGGGACAGUGGUGACAGGUGGUGCAUGGUUGUCGUCAGCUCGUGUCGUGAGAUGUUGGGUUAAGUCCCGCAACGAGCGCAACCCUUGAUCUUAGUUGCCAGCAUUUAGUUGGGCACUCUAAGGUGACUGCCGGUGACAAACCGGAGGAAGGUGGGGAUGACGUCAAAUCAUCAUGCCCCUUAUGACCUGGGCUACACACGUGCUACAAUGGAUGGUACAAAGGGCUGCAAGACUGCGAAGUCAAGCCAAUCCCAUAAAACCCAUUCUCAGUUCGGAUUGCAGGCUG